This 273-nucleotide long non-coding RNA is filed under the name Mytilus galloprovincialis (Mediterranean mussel). Lineage: Eukaryota; Metazoa; Mollusca; Bivalvia; Mytilida; Mytilidae. The record is from RNAcentral.
CUACACAAUGCCACUAAGGACUAGGAUGGCACAUCAAAGGGAACAUGUUUACUAAAUUUCAAGUGGAUUGGACUUCAACUUCAUCAAAAACUUCCUUGACCAAAAACUUUGACCUGAAGCGGAACGAACGAACAGACGGACGAACGACCGAACGGACCCUCAGACCAGAAAACAUCAUUCCCCUCUACUAUCGUACAUGGGGCAUGUUUUUAGAUUCAUAGACAACAUAGAUCAGACAAACUAAAGAAACAAUUAACGUAAACUGAAAGGGAA